This is a long non-coding RNA of Leptinotarsa decemlineata (Colorado potato beetle), 399 nucleotides long. The record is from RefSeq and is a predicted model, not a curated record. NCBI's taxonomy places the organism in Eukaryota, Metazoa, Arthropoda, Insecta, Coleoptera, Chrysomelidae.
AGUACAGAACGAAUCCCGUGAUGACAACUCUGAAUUUGACAUUCUUGUCGGCAAUCGUCCAGUGUCCAGUAAAAUUACUGAAAUUACAUGUGGUUUGUGGUGUGGUAAGAUCCUGAUGCCGGCUGAUUUCUAGAAAGUGGUAACAAAAAACCUAAAGCUUCUAAAUUGCCAAAUAAGAAGAAAUAAUUAUUCCACGAUGCAUCAAGAAACUCUUCAACUCAUUCAGAUUCUGGAAAAAACAGUUUCUCCCGAUAAAACUGAGCUAGAACAAGCUUCAUCUUUUCUGGAACAAGCCGCGGCUACCAACUUGUUAGAGUUCAUAAAAACUUUAUCUGAUAUCUUGAGACAUGGAGGUAAUAGCCCUGUGGCUCGCAUGGCAGCUGGUUUGCAACUCAAAAA